RNAcentral lists this ribosomal RNA (505 nucleotides) under uncultured bacterium. RNAcentral describes it as "partial 16S ribosomal RNA". It matches the Rfam family "Bacterial small subunit ribosomal RNA", at positions 28 to 507 of the family's 1533-position model. The record is from RNAcentral.
GACGAACGCUGGCGGCGUGCCUAAUACAUGCAAGUAGAACGCACAGUUUAUACCGUAGCUUGCUACACCAUAGACUGUGAGUUGCGAACGGGUGAGUAACGCGUAGGUAACCUGCCUGGUAGCGGGGGAUAACUAUUGGAAACGAUAGCUAAUACCGCAUAAUAUUAAUUAUUGCAUGAUAAUUAAUUGAAAGGUGCAAUUGCACCACUACCAGAUGGACCUGCGUUGUAUUAGCUAGUAGGUGAGGUAACGGCUCACCUAGGCGACGAUACAUAGCCGACCUGAGAGGGUGAUCGGCCACACUGGGACUGAGACACGGCCCAGACUCCUACGGGAGGCAGCAGUAGGGAAUCUUCGGCAAUGGACGAAAGUCUGACCGAGCAGCGCCGCGUGAGUGAAGAAGGGUGUCGGAUCGUAAAGCUCUGUUGUAAGAGAAGAACGGGUGUGAGAGUGGAAAGUUCACACUGUGACGGUAUCUUACCAGAAAGGGACGGCUAACUACGUG